RNAcentral lists this transfer RNA (65 nucleotides) under bovine gut metagenome. It matches the Rfam family "tRNA". Rfam says of the family: Transfer RNA (tRNA) molecules are approximately 80 nucleotides in length. Their secondary structure includes four short double-helical elements and three loops (D, anti-codon, and T loops). The record is from RNAcentral.
GGAUGUGGUGUAACGGUAACACACAGGACUUUGACUCCUGCGUUGUGGGUUCGAGUCCCGCCAUC